Rana temporaria (common frog) is the source of this 3309-nucleotide long non-coding RNA. RefSeq lists it as uncharacterized. Lineage: Eukaryota; Metazoa; Chordata; Amphibia; Anura; Ranidae. The transcript has 2 exons. The record is from RefSeq and is a predicted model, not a curated record.
GUCGUCUCCUCCUCCUCCAUCCCAUGUCAGUAGGGCAGUAAACUAGGUCAGUCAUUUUUUUAUUAUUGUUUUUAAGACCCCCGGCAGCAGAAAGAAAGUGAUAAAUCAGCAGAAAGUAAUAUUAGCAAAAGCUGAUACCUUGGGGGCCUGAGUCACUCUGGACAUUCCGGGCCCCUUUAUAAGUGUGGGCUUGUACCCCCCUGAUGGCAGCCCUGUGCCUUCAUACCUGCCCAUUUGUGUUGGGGUGCCUCCUGAGCACCGUUGGCAUUAGGGUUGGUACCCCGGGGUUGUUUCCAGUCUCAGGAGUCUUUUUGGCUUUACCAGCCUUUCUCAACCUUUUACCCCAGAGGAACCCCUUAAAUAAUUUCCAGGUCUCAGGGAACCCCUAGUAAGAUUUGUCCAUUGGUGGGUUGUUGAAAUGCCCCUUACAUUGAUGGUGGUAAAUGGGGGAAAAAAGGCUCCUUUUUAAUGGGGUGGCCAGAUUGAUGACCUUGUCUCUGCCAAAUGGGGUUGGACCAUUUUGGAGGUACCAUUAGAUGGGAGGUCCAGCUAGCCACAGCUCAGGGAACCCCUUGCCACCUCUGAAGGAACCCUAGGGUUCCAUGGAUUAUCGGUUGAUAAUGGCUGGACUAUACCUUGGGAUAAUACACCGUGAGGGUGAUCACCCUCCAUAGAUAUCUCCUGUGAGAUGGUCAUCUGGCCAGGCAGCCUCGUUCUGGUAUCUUCCCUCCCCCGAUGCCAAGGUUGGGGGUGUAAGGCUUGGGCCUUUCACUUCUAAACCAGCUAGUCUCCCCUCAUGGACUGUUUUUUUGUUCAGUGGUCCCUCUGGGGACCUGUUCUCCAGGGGCUGGACCCAUCUGCUUUUUUUUUUUGACCAUGACUAUUUUGUGGAGUUGCCUUGUUCUACCAGUUUUGGUGGUUUCUUGGUCCACAGCCUUUUGCAGGUGAGGGGCUCGGUGCUCCUUCAGAGGAAGCCAUUCCACUUUACUGAUCGGAGCACCAGGUCGGACUUGACCUCCGCUAGUUCAGAUUUGGGGGCGCUAGUUCAGAUUUGGGGGUUGCUCCUCCUAGUAGUCAUGUGUUACAGAUGGCUCCCGUCUUCCUUCUGUCGUGGCCACUGCUGACCCCUCAACUGGACUGCUCUUGGACAAUCCCGGCCGUUUCUGAAUUCCUGUGCCCGUCAAUGGACGAUGGAGAUCGGAAGAUGUUUGUACUUACCUGCAAAUCUUUUUCUUGGAGCGUCCCACCCUUCUGUGGUUUUUGGUGGCCCCGUGUACUGCUCACAAAACUUGAGGCACACCGGGCACAGGGGGUGUUAUGCCGGGGCUGGCUUACAAUGUUACUGUUUGCUGGUGUCUAAACCUCCUGUAAGCGGCAGUAUAACCCAACUGUGGAUGAAUUCCUGUGUCCCAAGAAAAAGAUUUCGGGGUAGGUUCAAAAAAAAUAAUCUUUAUUUAGCCUAUAAUAUAAGAGGACCAAUGAAAGUAUCGCAGGCGUGGAUCAGUACAGGGAGGCCCCGCCCCUUCAGGACUGAUUUCUAUAAUAUAAAAGGACCAAUGAAAGAAUCGCAGGCGUGGAUCAGUGCAGGGAGGCCCCGCCCCUUCAGGACUGAUUCCUAUAAUAUAAAAGGACCAAUGAAAGUAUCACAGGUGUAGAUCAGUGCGGAGAGGCCACACCCCUUCAGGACUGACUCCGCCCCCCAUAUAACAGAAUGAAUGGACGCUCGAGACAGGAACAUUCGGUGGAUCCCAAUUCAGAGUCUAGAAUGUCGGUCUACAUGACCAGGUGGGAGAUAUCUCCCCAUAUAAUUAGAAGGAUGGGAGUUGUAGUCUCAUGAUCAGAGCAGAGGAUUCUGGGAAGACGUCUUUUAUGGCCGAUUCCUGGAUCUGAUCUCUGACUGUGAAGGUCUAAUGGUAAAAAAAAGGGCUCAUUUUCUGCCUGCAGGAGGCGAUCAGAUAAUGUACCAAACCCAUCACACAACCAAUGAAUGAAGGACCAAUGUGAGGCGCAUGUGUAUGGAGGGAAGGGCCUGUUUUGCUGUCUGUGCCCCCAGGGAGGAGAUGUUGUUGUCCCCGCACCUCUGUUUUGGACAGAAUGGGGCACAAAGAAAACCUCUAAUAAGGUCACAGACAGAAAUCGUAUUUCUCUCUCCCAUGCUAUCCAAAAUUUAAAGCUGAACACCACCUAAAAACGGAAUAGCCCUUUAAAACCUAAUAAAUGUGUUUGCUGCAAUACUUACAUUCAAUCCUGAGCUGCUCCCCACAGUAUCACAUUUCUGCCACUAGAUGUCCUCAGUUUUCAGGGUUGAAUGACAUCCAGCGUCAUCCAACCAAGGAGUUCUGAGGCGGUCACGGACCGCCAACCAAUCUGUAAUUGGACAGUGAAAGGAGAAGAAGCAGACUGAUGAGGUCAUCUCUCUGCUCUCACAGGUUCAGCUUUAAAAACAAUUGGCUAGCAUUGGGCUUUAACCACCAUGUGCUGCUAACAAGGAAACAAACAGAGAGUGGUUAAGUCAGUCAGGAGCAAGCGAUCGCCCUUGACGCUCCGCCCACAACCGAACGAUAGUGGCGAGAUCUCCCCCACAGCCCCCUCCGUGUCCCCGUAUAACAAUUCUAUAUAUUCUCUUCACCGGACAUCCAACUGAUGGAUCAUUGUAACCCGAAACGGAAUCCAGUUGUGGCCGGAGUGAGAGCCAAGACCUCCAUCCAGACAAACCAAGUCUACAAAUGUCCCCCUUUCGCUUUUUCCUUCCUUGUGAUGCCCCCGAGAGCUCUACAAGGAUUCUCCGAAUGAACCCUAAACAACCCCCCCCCCCCCAAUGGCCAGAGCUUCAUCAUUGCUUGGUGGUAAGUACUUUUCCUGAAAGAUCGGCUGUGUCAGGAGGGAGGACAUUGCAUCUCGGCAAUUUGAUGGCCUCCAUUUUUGCUUUCACUUCAUUCCACCCAAAAUCUGAUUCUUCUCUGGUGUAUGGGGGGAACUAAACUCUUCUCUGUGAUUGGUUACCCUAACUCUGAUCUGGUUAGUAGUAGGUGGUCACAUCCAGCUGGACGUGUUCUGUAAUGUUCAAGACAUUUUGUAGAUUAUCCAAGGCACUUCUUCAGUUCUGAGGGACGGGAAGAUCCCUGAAUAUUUAUACCCACCCUGGUAGACCCCUUCAUCCAAUGACCAUGGAAUGUGUCAUGGCAGAUGUUGUUUGUCCAAGAGCAGGUGGAGGUGUGAAAGUUGUGCUCCCACCUUGUUCUAGUUAUAUCACCCCAUCCUUGGCAUCAGGAGGUCUGCAGAGGUGUCAUUCCUUCCAUUCACAGGACU